CCUACGGGAGGCAGCAGUGAGGAAUAUUGGUCAAUGGACGAGAGUCUGAACCAGCCAAGUAGCGUGAAGGAUGACUGCCCUAUGGGUUGUAAACUUCUUUUAUAUGGGAAUAAAAUGUUCCACGUGUGGGAUUUUGUAUGUACCAUAUGAAUAAGAAUCGGCUAACUCCGUGCCAGCAGCCGCGGUAAUACGGAGGAUCCGAGCGUUAUCCGGAUUUAUUGGGUUUAAAGGGAGCGUAGGUGGAUUGUUAAGUCAGUUGUGAAAGUUUGCGGCUCAACCGUAAAAUUGCAGUUGAAACUGGCAGUCUUGAGUACAGUAGAGGUGGGCGGAAUUCGUGGUGUAGCGGUGAAAUGCUUAGAUAUCACGAAGAACUCCGAUUGCGAAGGCAGUUCACUGGACUGCAACUGACACUGAGGCUCGAAAGUGUGGGUAUCAAACAGGAUUAGAUACCCGUGUAGUC
Molecule: ribosomal RNA, 460 nt
Filed under: uncultured bacterium
Lineage: Bacteria
Description: partial 16S ribosomal RNA
Rfam family: Bacterial small subunit ribosomal RNA
Source: RNAcentral